AUUGAACGCUGGCGGCAUGCCUUACACAUGCAAGUCGAACGGCAGCACGGGUGCUUGCCCCUGGUGGCGAGUGGCGAACGGGUGAGUAAUACAUCGGAACAUGUCCUGUAGUGGGGGAUAGCCCGGCGAAAGCCGGAUUAAUACCGCAUACGAUCUACGGAUGAAAGCGGGGGACCUUCGUGCCUCGCGCUAUAGGGUUGGCCGAUAGCUGAUUAGCUAGUUGGUGGGGUAAAGGCCUACCAAGGCGACGAUCAGUAGCUGGUCUGAGAGGACGACCAGCCACACUGGGACUGAGACACGGCCCAGACUCCUACGGGAGGCAGCAGUGGGGAAUUUUGGACAAUGGGCGAAAGCCUGAUCCAGCAAUGCCGCGUGUGUGAAGAAGGCCUUCGGGUUGUAAAGCACUUUUGUCCGGAAAGAAAUCCUUGGCUCUAAUACAGUCGGGGGAUGACGGUACCGGAAGAAUAAGCACCGGCUAACUACGUG
Molecule: ribosomal RNA, 486 nt
Filed under: uncultured bacterium
Lineage: Bacteria
Description: partial 16S ribosomal RNA
Rfam family: Bacterial small subunit ribosomal RNA
Source: RNAcentral